RNAcentral lists this ribosomal RNA (468 nucleotides) under uncultured bacterium. RNAcentral's name for it is "partial 16S ribosomal RNA". It matches the Rfam family "Bacterial small subunit ribosomal RNA", at positions 28 to 507 of the family's 1533-position model. The record is from RNAcentral.
GACGAACGCUGGCGGCGUGCUUAACACAUGCAAGUCGAACGGAAAGGCCCUGCUUUUGUGGGGUGCUCGAGUGGCGAACGGGUGAGUAACAUGUGAGUAACCUGCCCUUGACUUUGGGAUAACUUCAGGAAACUGGGGCUAAUACCGGAUAGGAGCUCCUGCUGCAUGGGGGGGGUUGGAAAGUUUCGGCGGUUGGGGAUGGACUCGCGGCUUAUCAGCUUGUUGGUGGGGUAGUGGCUUACCAAGGCGUGGACGGGUAGCCGGCCUGAGAGGGUGACCGGCGACAUUGGGACUGAGGGGCGGCCCAGACUCGUACGGGAGGCCGCAGUGGGGAAUCUUGCACCAUGGGCGGAAGCCUGAUGCAGCAACGCCGCGUGCGGGAUGACGGCCUUCGUGUUGUAAACCGCUUUCGCCUGUGACGAAGCGUGAGUGACGGUAAUGGGUAGAGAAGCACCGGCUAACUACGUG